GAGAAAUUAUCAUUUUCAAUAGUUAGAGAAAGACGCCAAACCAGUUGGUCAAUUUUAAAUAUGUAUAUAUCUUUUUCAAGUUAAUAUUUUGAAAGUUUUUAUUAAUUUCAAACAUAUUAAGUAUUUUUGUAAAUGAACACUAGUUGCCAAAACUAGACUAAAAUGAACACGCUUCAUCAGAAGUAAUUUUUAUAUGGGAGACAACUCCAGUUUUACCGCGACAAUUUCAUGAGCAAGUAAUAUGUCUCAAUUUACAGUUUACCCAUUAUUUGUAAACAAUGGUAGGUGUAAGAACAUUAUUAUUCAAAGCAUUUUGCAUUAGUUCUCAUGGUCGUUAGGUAACAGAAAAGCUCUUAGAAGCUAGUAAACUGAUGUUCUCUAUUUAUCCCAUUGCAAAGCCCAGUGUUACUUGUUUUCUUAUUUCAUAAGAUUCCCGGUUUGUUUACAUAGUUUUCUGGUUCAAAGUAAAUGCGUGUAUUGAACUUCAUUUAUUGUGUUAUAUGCUAUAUGUAUAAAGUCCCCCAUGUUAUUAUUUUUAGUAUGUGAGCUAGUCCCAGUCCCAAGUUUUAACUUUCAGUUAUCUCCCCUUUUAAUAUGCAAAUUUGUUUACAACUGUUUGCUUGUCUGUAAAUAAUAGCCUUCAGCUAUGUCAUACUGUAAAUACAUAUUUUUAAUAGUAAAAGUUUCUGAGAAUAAGUCGAAAUUAUUAUUAUAGAGAUAUUUGGUUGUUAAAAGAGAACAAAUGAAUAGUUUAUAAUUUGUUUAAUUGUUUACUGCAAAUCCAGGCUGCACAAUUAAGAAACCAGUCAAACACUCUAGAGUUCACACCGUUCAAGGUGAAAUAGUAAGAAACUUCACAGUUCCAUCGUCAGUAUUGAUAUUCAUGAUUUGUUAUUGUAUUGCAUAUAUUGACCGCAUUAAUAUUGUUAUACUUUAUAUUUUAUUAUGUAAUACUGUUAUUAUAUAUAAGACUUUUCAAAUUGAACGCAUUGAGUAAAGACCAAUUCUCAGAAAACAGAUUUGACUAUUUUCAGGCCUGUCAAAAGACUCCCGUCAACAAGAUAUCAUUAUAUAUCUUGUCACAGCUGAAAAUCAUACAGUCAUAUCACCCUGCAUCUGCCUGUCACACUUGCUUCAAAAAGCUCUACCACAAAAGAACAAACAACAAACACCCA
Molecule: long non-coding RNA, 1175 nt
Filed under: Mytilus galloprovincialis (Mediterranean mussel)
Lineage: Eukaryota; Metazoa; Mollusca; Bivalvia; Mytilida; Mytilidae
Source: RNAcentral